RNAcentral lists this ribosomal RNA (253 nucleotides) under uncultured bacterium. RNAcentral describes it as "partial 16S ribosomal RNA". It matches the Rfam family "Bacterial small subunit ribosomal RNA", at positions 524 to 776 of the family's 1533-position model. The record is from RNAcentral.
UACGGAGGGUGCGAGCGUUGUCCGGAAUCACUGGGCGUAAAGGGCGCGUAGGCGGUCGUGUAGGUACCUGGUGACAGUCUCGGGCUCAACUCGAGGGGGUCUGGGUAGACCGCACGACUGGAGGCAGGGAGAGGGAUGUGGAAUACCCGGUGGAGCGGUGAAAUGCGUAGAGAUCGGGUGGAACACCAGUGGCGAAGGCGGCAUCCUGGCCCUGACCUGACGCUGAGGCGCGAGAGCGUGGGGAGCAAACGGG